AAGAUGGCGACCGGCGCACGGGUGAGUAACACGUAUCCAACCUGCCGAUAACUCCGGAAUAGCCUUUCGAAAGAAAGAUUAAUACCGGAUGGCAUACGAAUAUCGCAUGAUAUUUUUAUUAAAGAAUUUCGGUUAUCGAUGGGGAUGCGUUCCAUUAGGUUGUUGGCGGGGUAACGGCCCACCAAGCCUUCGAUGGAUAGGGGUUCUGAGAGGAAGGUCCCCCACAUUGGAACUGAGACACGGUCCAA
This 248-nucleotide ribosomal RNA is filed under the name uncultured bacterium. Its description in RNAcentral is "partial 16S ribosomal RNA". It matches the Rfam family "Bacterial small subunit ribosomal RNA", at positions 85 to 334 of the family's 1533-position model. The record is from RNAcentral.